This is a long non-coding RNA of Salmo salar (Atlantic salmon), 3008 nucleotides long. RefSeq lists it as uncharacterized. The record is from RefSeq and is a predicted model, not a curated record. NCBI's taxonomy places the organism in Eukaryota, Metazoa, Chordata, Actinopteri, Salmoniformes, Salmonidae.
UAGAAACUAUGGCCACAGAUGUCUCGCCGGUUCUGUCUCUGCUGCACAGAGCGCUGUGAAGGGUUUAUAUAGCAGCUAGUGGCUUCACAUUCACAGGCCUGCCAGUUUGCACAGAUGAUGUCAUCGAUUGAAAGCACCAAACACAUCCAUUUUAGGGGUUGCAUAGAUGUCAGCCAAAGCUCUGCACUAAAUGGGUGGUAUGCAAUUCUUCAAUUCUCUACUCUACUGGCUGAAUUUGAAAGUUAAUGAACUUGGCUAGCUUUUGCUCCUGACCGCCCCCUCCCGUCCCUUAGCUUGAAAAAUGCAGACCGCGCCACAAUGAUCUCAGUCAGGGACCUGCAGGAGGAUCAGAUGGUGACAGGGGUCUCAGCAGGGUCAGGCAACCAGGGAAGACCAAUCUGUGACAGAGUGCUAGAGGAGAGUCAGCGGCAGCAGCUUGGGGCGGUAAGCUACUCGUCAGCGCUAUGCGCUGGGCCUCUUCUACAAAGGCCCAGGCUCACAUCGAUGUCCCCUGGGCCGCCAAGUACGUCUCCAAUAAUCCCUGCAUUCGCUUCAUUGCCAUCGACGAUCAAAAGCGCAAUUUAGAAUCCCCAGAGUACGGUCCCUCCAUGGUGGUCCACACCAGUGUUCCAUUUGGUGUCAAACACCUGGAGGAGGCCAAGGAGCAGGUGGAGCCUAUCAUCCUGGUGAAGCUGAACAAGCUGCUGCCUGGCUUGCCACAGCCCGACAGUAUCAAGUGCCAGAAGUGGAGAUACUCACAGGCUGGGCUGGGGGUCAGAGGCCACAGAACAUCUGUGUGGGAGGCCACAUCACUGGGAGUGCCAGAGCAUGGGCCAAGGCCCACUGGAACUGGAUGGGCCAUGAUAGAACGCACACACACACACACAUUUGUACUGUAACACACACAAGCACAUUUGUAUUAUAAUAUAGACACACACACAUUCAUAAUGGAAUGCGCAGACACACACACAUACAUAUGCACACUCACUCACACUGUACACACAUCAGCUCCCUGUCAAAUGCACUAGCAGUCAUUCUAACAAAGACCCUUGUGACAGAGAGACACAAAUGCAUGAUUGAUCCUAACAGUUAUAGCAGUUUAACUGUUGCUAAAAUAAAGGUUAUAAGUUGCGUGCUCUUUAGAUUACUUCUCUUAUGAAGCAGACGUAUUCUCAGCUGUCGAAAUCUCUUGCUUUCCUUGAGAUAAAACGUGUUUAUAUUGGGGCGUUUAUCUUAAGGUCCCAAACCCUCCUCCUUGGCGCUCCGUGCUCUUUGCCCUGGGAAGUCAGCCUCACACUGUAUAUGGAGACGGCAGGGCCCAGGGCCACUUUAUCAACGUACCACUAGAGUGAACCAAACAAUUUGUCCAUGGCCACAUUUCAACAAAAAUGCUUAUCAUCAAUUGAUUUACAUGGUGAUGACCUUUUCAAGGAUGCAUGAGCAAACAAACAAUUAUGUUUUGGGGGAGGAGUGGGGAUGGAGGGAGGUGGAGGUUGGGGGUUAUGAUAGCAGCACAUAGUAGCCUAUAACGAUGCCUAUUAAAAGCCCCAGCAGGAAAUGGAUCCUAUUUCCUUACCCUUAGCGGUGCAGGGCAGCGUACCUCGAUGUUUAUCCAUCUGCUGCCUCUCCUCUUAGUACAGGCCAGCAGAAGCCUCUGACAGAAGUUACGACACGUACACCGGCUUGUGUGUUUACACUCCCAAGUCAUUAACACACUUAACUCUCAGCAUUCAGGAUUUAAACAUGAGGAAGACAGUUGGCUGCGAGGCUGAUUCGCUAUCUGCCUGUCUAGCCAAAGGCAGUGCAUUUUAUGGCUUGAUCUGUGGUAUCCCACCACGUUCAUCCAGAGGUAACUUGAGCACAGACAGUUUUUUUGGAUUGCAGGAUAACUGUAGCACAAACAAAUCAUUGUCUCAAUACACGUUCUACUGUAGCUGUAGAAAUAGAUACAUCUGUGGCCAUGACAACAAUUGGGCUUCAGUAGUGUAGUAUACAAUCAAUGCAUCAUUUAUCAGUGAAGGACAGUGAGCUGCCGAUUCCACUCAAUAGCUCAGCAGCAGCAUGAAGGACUAAUCAGCCCUCUCUAUUGGGUCUAGAGACCGUUAGGGCCACUCCACCUGCUGCUGUAUGGCCCUUCUCUCUCCACCCCCUCCCCCCCUCUCUACCCCACCACCCCCUCUCUCUUUCUCAACUAAUUAGGUGACGAGCUCGGUGGCCGACUGCCCAGGGCAGAUGACGCCGCUGUCCCAGCCUCUGUUGGUGUGUGGGGGGCGACGGCUUCACACAUUCCAAUUUCGACGGCUGUAUCGAGUCUGCCCUGAAGGUGUUUGACGUUCUGAAGUCCUCGGUAGGGGGGAUGGGAGUAUAGUGUGGGGGCCUCUAUGUGUACAGUAUGCUAGCCCAGAGAGGGGGGUACUGCCAUUGAUCCAUUACCCCCCCUGUCCACCGAAGUACUUGAUAUGUUUUUUUAACAUGUUGAUGCUAUGCUGUGUUCACUUGUGGUUAGAUGUGGAACCGGUGUUUAUAUGACCCACUAAUACAACAAGGUGGACCAUGAUUCCGUUCCAAUGAAGUACUUUACUCAAAGUAAAUAUGGUGUUGUUACUCAGGAUUUCUCUCUAAACAUCUGAUUUUGGUUCAGAUUGAAUAAAAAAGUUGAAAACUAUAUCUCUCCCUUUGUGUCUGUAAUUCCACUUUCUUUUUUUUUCUCAGAAAGAUGGCAGGUGGUAUGGGAACCAAUCAGCACAGAGCUCAGAGCAAAGUCGUACAAAAUGGAUGUGGGUAGUCAAAAAGCAAUUAGAAAGUAAUCAAGAUCCCUUAAUGACUUCUAAAUGCAUUAGGCAAAGUAGGAACACUAUGUGCUGUUUGACUAAUACCAUAUCUCACCCACCAUUGAUGUAGCCAGAGGACUCCGGGUAUGACUGCCUGGUAUGGCUAACACCAGGUCUGCCCUGUGCUCAUGAAGGUCAAGUGUCCCAGUGAGAGCCCUGUGGCCCUGCCAACCCUAA